UACAGAGGUGGCAAGCGUUGUUCGGAAUUACUGGGCGUAAAGCGCGUGUAGGCGGCCCGGUAAGUCCGCUGUGAAAGUCCAGGGCUCAACCCUGGGAUGCCGGUGGAUACUGUCGGGCUCGAGUCCGGAAGAGGCGAGUGGAAUUCCUGGUGUAGCGGUGAAAUGCGCAGAUAUCAGGAGGAACACCAAUGGCGAAGGCAGCUCGCUGGGACGUGACUGACGCUGAGACGCGAAAGCGUGGGGAGCAAACAGG
This 253-nucleotide ribosomal RNA is filed under the name uncultured bacterium. RNAcentral describes it as "partial 16S ribosomal RNA". It matches the Rfam family "Bacterial small subunit ribosomal RNA", at positions 524 to 776 of the family's 1533-position model. The record is from RNAcentral.